Molecule: ribosomal RNA, 440 nt
Filed under: uncultured bacterium
Lineage: Bacteria
Description: partial 16S ribosomal RNA
Rfam family: Bacterial small subunit ribosomal RNA
Source: RNAcentral
CCUACGGGCGGCAGCAGUGGGGAAUCUUGCACAAUGGGGGAAACCCUGAUGCAGCGACGCCGCGUGAGCGAUGAAGUAUUUCGGUAUGUAAAGCUCUAUCAGCAGGGAAGAACAUGACGGUACCUGACUAAGAAGCCCCGGCUAACUACGUGCCAGCAGCCGCGGUAAUACGUAGGGGGCAAGCGUCAUCCGGAUUUACUGGGGGUAAAGGGAGCGUAGACGGCGAUGCAAGCCAGAUGUUAAAGCCCGGUGCUCAACCCCGGGACUGCAUUUGGAACUGUAUAGCUGGAGUGUCGGAGAGGCAGGCGGAAUUCCUAGUGUAGCGGUGAAAUGCGUAGAUAUUAGGAGGAACACCAGUGGCGAAGGCGGCCUGCUGGACGAUGACUGACGUUGAGGCUCGAAAGCGUGGGGAGCAAACAGGAUUAGAUACCCUGGUAGUC